GCGGUUGCUAAUUUUCGGGUGGAUAGAGAAAUCCUGCAGGCCUCGUGCCUUUCUUCUCCGGCGCCGGCGCCAACGCGAUGUAGAUGGCGCGCAGGUUGACUGGGCUUCCUGGAUGCAUGCGUGGGCUUCCUCGAUGCACGUGUGGACCUGGCCCAUUGCUGGAGCAACUCCUCCCCUUCCGUUCCUGGAGCCUGCAGCCCCAUACCGUGCGAACUGAAACCGGUCGGUGGCAUCGUAAUGAUGGUGGUAUAAAAUUCGACUUCUCCCUCCUGUAAUCAUGGUGAUUAACGUUGGCGUUACUGUCUGUUUUCUUAUGUUCCUUGUAUAUUUAUAUGCUGCAAACAAUUAUCUUUUCAUAUCACUUCAGUCUCGCCUUCGACCUACCAUUGUUCGUCAGCCACGUUCCUUCAUUAGUGUUGAUUUCCUCUUUUGUCGGCGUCUCCCCUCUUCUUUGUAAUUUCAUUGAUGCCACCAAUCUGACCUGCCGUCGCCUGUUUCAGGGGUUGUCGUCCUCCUUAGUUUGUGAUGAUUGUGUUUAGGGAGUGCUGAGAGGGAGUGCGUCUCUGCAACCAUGGUCGCUGGACAGCAACCACACAAGGUGUUGGAAUGGUGCCCCCGCAGAGAGGUUAGAGGAGAUGAGAUGGAUUCGCUGCACAAGAGGACAUGUUUGCUACACAAGAGGAUCUGACAACAGCUAAAUGCUCUCGAGGCCAUGCUCUCGCAUGAAGACAGAAUGAUGCUUCAGCUCAAGGUAGGAAUAGAAAAAAUCAUUUCUUCAUUUUGAGCAAGUCGUGCAAGAGGAAUUCAUCAUGUACUUGAUUGGACAAUGACGUUUCUCUACUCGCUGAUGUUCAGUGGUGGUGGGCGGUUCAAGGCAUGAAAUCGAUCUGCCUCCAUGGUGUCUGAACUUAAGUCAGUGCCAUGCUGAUCAGAUGUGGAUAUAUCCAAACUUCUACAGUGCAAUGUACCCUGAGUACCGGGUAAUGAUGUGCAUGCAUUGGGGACAUUAGGGGCGGCCAAUGGUCACCCUAUUUCUCAUUUCUGUUUCUGACAGUCUAAUAUUGAGGAUGUUGGUCCAGGUUAAUGUAGCAUGCUCUGUUGUAUUGAGAUGCUUCUAAACCCAAGCUACACGCACACAUGCAAUCUUCUUUUUUUGCAGCCGAGAUGUCUUA
Long non-coding RNA from Lolium rigidum, 1172 nucleotides. RefSeq lists it as uncharacterized. The transcript has 3 exons. The record is from RefSeq and is a predicted model, not a curated record. NCBI's taxonomy places the organism in Eukaryota, Viridiplantae, Streptophyta, Magnoliopsida, Poales, Poaceae.